This 467-nucleotide ribosomal RNA is filed under the name uncultured bacterium. Its description in RNAcentral is "partial 16S ribosomal RNA". It matches the Rfam family "Bacterial small subunit ribosomal RNA", at positions 28 to 507 of the family's 1533-position model. The record is from RNAcentral.
GACGAACGCUGGCGGCGUGCUUAACACAUGCAAGUCGAACGGAAAGGCCUCUUUCGGGGGGUACUCGAGUGGCGAACGGGUGAGUAACACGUGAGUAACCUGCCCUUGACUUUGGGAUAACUUCAGGAAACUGGGGCUAAUACCGGAUAGGAGCUCCUGCUGCAUGGUGGGGGUUGGAAAGUUUCGGCGGUUGGGGAUGGACUCGCGGCUUAUCAGCUUGUUGGUGGGGUAGUGGCUUACCAAGGCUUUGACGGGUAGCCGGCCUGAGAGGGUGACCGGCCAGAUUGGGACUGAAUUACGGCCCGGGUGCAGACGUGAGGCAGCCGCGGGGAGUACUGGACGAUGGGUGGAGGGUUGAUGCAGACAUGCCGUGGUGGGGAAGCCGGGCUUGGGGUUGUAAACCACAUUAGCUCCUGACAACGCUGUGCGUGACGGUAGUGGGUAAAGAAGCAACGGCUAACUACGUG